UACGGAGGGUGCAAGCGUUGUUCGGAAUCACUGGGCGUAAAGGGCGUGUAGGCGGUCCGCUAAGUCUGAUGUGAAAGCCCGGGGCUCACCCCCGGAAGUGCAUUGGAAACUGACGGACUCGAGUCCCGGAGAGGAGGGUGGAAUUCCUGGUGUAGCGGUGAAAUGCGCAGAUAUCAGGAGGAACACCGGUGGCGAAGGCGGCUUGCUGGGCCUUACCUGACGCUGAGGAGCGAAAGCGUGGGGAGCGAACAGG
RNAcentral lists this ribosomal RNA (253 nucleotides) under uncultured bacterium. RNAcentral describes it as "partial 16S ribosomal RNA". It matches the Rfam family "Bacterial small subunit ribosomal RNA", at positions 524 to 776 of the family's 1533-position model. The record is from RNAcentral.